Molecule: ribosomal RNA, 3735 nt
Filed under: Triticum aestivum (bread wheat)
Lineage: Eukaryota; Viridiplantae; Streptophyta; Magnoliopsida; Poales; Poaceae
Description: partial small subunit ribosomal RNA
Source: RNAcentral
AUGUCGCCUCUCCUGAAGCUCGUCUCAAUAUCUCUACUACUAAUACCCUGGUUUCCUCAUACUAUGGCAGUGACAUCCCUCCUGGAAGAGCAAGCAGAGGCCCUCCUUGCCUGGAAAGCCACACUCCAAAGCCAUCCAACCCAACUACAAUCCUGGGGAAGUGCAAACAACACUGCACGGCCAUGCAGCUGGCAUGGCAUCAGGUGCAGCAAGCAUCGAGCAAGGCGCCGGGAGGUGAUCACCGAGAUCUCUCUACCCGGGUUGGGGCUCGGAGGGGAGCUGGACAACCUCAACUUCACUGUGCUGCAUACUCUCAUGAGCAUCCAACUCUCCAACAAUAAGAUAAGGGGCUCCUUUCCACCUGCUUUAGCAUCAUCCUUACCAAAGCUGAGACACCUAAUGCUCCAAGAGAAUGAGCUUUCCGGUGAAAUACCAAGCCAAAUAAAACUACUAGAGAGCCUGGUUGUGUUAGAUUUCUCAGCCAACCACUUGUCUGGUCUCAUCCCCACAGAACUAGGCUACCUAAAGAAGCUGGCUAGGUUAGAUUUUUCCAACAACAGUCUCACUGGUCCUAUUCCAAGAAAUCUAGGGAAAUCUACUAGUAUCACAAUCUUGUACCUUGGUGGUAAUCAGUUAUCCGGAUACAUCCCUCAAGAACUAGGUUACCUGCUGCAUUUAAAUCAGCUGUCUCUUCAGAAAAACAAGUUAAUUGGUUCCAUCCCCAAUUUCUUUGGGAGAUUGAUUAGCCUCAAAGGCUUGUACCUAUGGGGUAACCAACUUUCCGGACGUAUUCCUCAAGAACUUGGUUUCCUAGUAAAUUUAGAAGAGUUGGAUCUUAGCAGCAACCAACUCACGGGUUCCAUCCCCGGUACAUUUGGAAGUUUGUCAAAGCUCACUAUGUUGCACCUUUUUGGUAAUAAAUUAUCCGGAUAUCUUCCUCGAGAACUAGGCAACCUGUCAAAUCUUGAAUAUUUGGAACUUAACAACAACCAACUCAUGGGUUUCAUCCCCCAUAUCUUUGUAAAUUUGACAAAGCUCUCUAUCUUGCGCCUUGAUGCGAACCACUUCUAUGGACAUCUUCCUCGAGAACUAGGUUACAUGGUGGAUCUUGAUAACUUGGAUCUAAGCGAGAACAAACUCAUUGGUUCCAUCCCCAAUACCUUUGGAAGUUUAACUAAGCUCACUCGCUUGUACCUAUGGGGUAACCAACUUUCCAGAAGUAUUCCUCAAGAACUUGGUUUCCUAGUAAAUUUAGAAGAGUUGGAUCUUAGCAGCAACCAACUCACGGGUUCCAUCCCCAGUACAUUUGGAAGUUUGUCAAAGCUCACUAUGUUGCACCUUUUUGGUAAUGAAUUAUUUGGAUAUCUUCCUCAAGAACUAGGGAACCUGUCAAAUCUUGAAUAUUUGGAACUUAACAACAACCAACUCAUGGGUUUCAUCCCCCAUAUCUUUGUAAAUUUGACAAAGCUCUCUAUCUUGCGCCUUGAUGCUAACCACUUCUAUGGAUAUCUUCCUCAAGAACUAGGUUACAUGGUGAUUCUUGAUAACUUGGAUCUAAGCGACAACAAACUCAUUGGUUCCAUCCCCAAUACCUUUGGAAGUUUAACUAAGCUCACUCGGUUGUACCUUGAUGCUAAUCAGUUAACCAGACAUAUUCCUCGAGAACUAGGUUACCUGGUGGAUUUACAAGAACUGACUCUUAGCAAUAACAAGCUCACUGGUUCCAUCCCUGAUGUCAUUGGAAAGUUGACUAAGCUAAGAAAAUUGCGUCUCGGUGAUAAUAAUUUCUCCGGACAUAUUCCUCAAGAAAUCGGUACCUUUAUGAAUCUUGUGGUCUUGCAACUUGGUGCAAACAAUUUCUCUGGUCCCUUGCCACCCGAGUUGUGUGUUGGAGGCCUUCUCCAGAAUUUAACUGCAUUUGAUAACAAUCUGAAUGGACAAUUGCCAUCAAGUUUGGGAAACUGCAAAAGCCUAGUCCGAGUUCGUCUUGAAAGGAAUCAAAUAGAAGGUGAUAUCUCUGAGUUGGGAGUUCAUCCUAAUCUUGUUUAUAUGGACAUGAGUUCAAAUAAACUAUUUGGCCAAUUGUCUUAUAACUGGGGAGUUUGUCAUAAUCUUACCAAGCUAUGCAUAUCAAACAACAACAUCACAGGGAAAAUACCUGCAAGUAUGGGGAGGCUAUCUCAGCUAAAUGUACUUGAUCUCUCCUCAAACAGUCUCGAAGGAGAGCUUCCUAGAGAACUAGGCAAUUUAAAACAAUUAUUCCAGCUGCACCUUGCAGAUAAUUUGUUCCAUGGAAGCAUACCACAAGAAUUUGGAGCAUUGUCCAGUCUAGAGUUGUUGGAUUUAUCAUCAAAUAACCUUAGUGGUUUGGUACAAGGAUCAAUUGAGAAUUGUUUGAAGCUCCGCUCAUUGAAUUUGAGUCACAAUAAUUUUAAAGGAAACAUCCCUGUAGUGCUUGGGGUGUUGAACAACUUACAUGACAUGUUGGAUUUAAGUGAUAAUUCAUUUACUGGGAAAAUACCUAGCCAACUUAGUGGUCUGAUAAUGCUGGAUAAUUUGAAUCUUUCACACAAUGAACUUUAUGGUGUAAUCCCAUCAUCAUUUCAGAGUAUGAAAAUCUUGACAUCCAUUGAUUUAUCUUACAAUGAAUUGGAAGGACCAGUCCCAGAGAGUAAGCUCUUCAAAGAAGCUCCAGUUCAGUGGUUCAUCCAUAAUAAGAUGCUAUGUGGCAUAGUGAAAGGAUUGCCUCCUUGCAAUAACACAACGUGGAGUGGAGGGAAAAGGAAACGAUACAAAACACUUGUACUAGCCAUGGUUACUGCUCUAGUAUCUCUUAUUCUUGUUGUGGCGACGUUGAUUGAAACACAUUGUAUAGGAACUGGGGGAUAUGGAUCUGUCUAUAAAGCCAAACUUGCAACAUCUGAAAUAUUUGCAGUGAAGAAGAUACACAUGAUUGAAGAUGACUAUUGUGUGAACGAGUUGGUAUUCAAUAGUGAAAUCGAGGCAUUGGUGCAGACUCGGCAUAGAAACAUCGUAAAACUAUUUGGAUAUUGUUCCUCUAGCCAAGGCAAAUAUCUUAUCUAUGAAUACAUGGAGAGGGGAAACUUGGCAGAAACACUAAGGGACAAUGAAAGGGCAAUUGAAUUGGACUGGAGAAGGCGGAUAAAUAUUGCACUGGAUGUUGUUCAUGCUUUGGCAUACAUGCAUCAUGAUUGUUCAUUACCAAUAGUCCACAGAGAUAUAACAAGCAACAACAUUUUACUUGAUCUGGAAUUUAGGGCUUGCAUCUCCGACUUCGGUAUGGCUAAAAUUCUCAAUAUUGAUGGUCAAAAUCUCACAAGUCUUGUUGGGACGAAAGGCUAUAUUGCCCCAGAGCUAUCAUAUACAGAGAAUGUGACGGAGAAAUGUGAUGUAUACAGCUUCGGCGUUCUUGUUCUAGAGCUAUUUAUGGGAUACCAUCCAGGAGAUUUUCUCUUUUCUCUCUUGUCGUCCACCAAAAAUAAUGACGUGUGCUUGCAAGAUGUGCUAGACUCAAGGCUCAUUGUCCCUAAUGCUGAAACUGCUAGGGAAAUAUACUACAUCCUCAGUGUUGCAGCUCGGUGUCUGGAGCCUAUUCCAUCAAGCAGACAAACAGCACGACGUGUUCGUGACGAGCUAUCUGUGAUUAAAGUAUGUGAAGAUCAUGUUGAUUAUAUGCAUACUGGCCUCAGCAUUCCUGCAAAACAGUGCCUAUGA